GCUUAACACAUGCAAGUCGAGGGGCAGCAUGGUCUUAGCUUGCUAAGACUGAUGGCGACCGGCGCACGGGUGAGUAACACGUAUCCAACCUGCCGUCUACUCUUGGACAGCCUUCUGAAAGGAAGAUUAAUACAAGAUGGCAUCAUGAGUCCGCAUGUUCACAUGAUUAAAGGUAUUCCGGUAGACGAUGGGGAUGCGUUCCAUUAGAUAGUAGGCGGGGUAACGGCCCACCUAGUCUUCGAUGGAUAGGGGUUCUGAGAGGAAGGUCCCCCACAUUGGAACUGAGACACGGUCCAAACUCCUACGGGAGGCAGCAGUGAGGAAUAUUGGUCAAUGGGCGAGAGCCUGAACCAGCCAAGUAGCGUGAAGGAUGACUGCCCUAUGGGUUGUAAACUUCUUUUAUAAAGGAAUAAAGUCGGGUAUGCAUACCCGUUUGCAUGUACUUUAUGAAUAAGGAUCGGCUAACUCCGUGCCAGCAGCCGCGGUAAUACGGAGGAUCCGAGCGUUAUCCGGAUUUAUUGGGUUUAAAGGGAGCGUAGAUGGAUGUUUAAGUCAGUUGUGAAAGUUUGCGGCUCAACCGUAAAAUUGCAGUUGAUACUGGAUAUCUUGAGUGCAGUUGAGGCAGGCGGAAUUCGUGGUGUAGCGGUGAAAUGCUUAGAUAUCACGAAGAACUCCGAUUGCGAAGGCAGCCUGCUAAGCUGCAACUGACAUUGAGGCUCGAAAGUGUGGGUAUCAAACAGGAUUAGAUACCCUGGUAGUCCACACGGUAAACGAUGAAUACUCGCUGUUUGCGAUAUACGGCAAGCGGCCAAGCGAAAGCGUUAAGUAUUCCACCUGGGGAGUACGCCGGCAACGGUGAAACUCAAAGGAAUUGACGGGGGCCCGCACAAGCGGAGGAACAUGUGGUUUAAUUCGAUGAUACGCGAGGAACCUUACCCGGGCUUAAAUUGCAGAUGAAUUACGGUGAAAGCCGUAAGCCGCAAGGCAUCUGUGAAGGUGCUGCAUGGUUGUCGUCAGCUCGUGCCGUGAGGUGUCGGCUUAAGUGCCAUAACGAGCGCAACCCUUGUUGUCAGUUACUAACAGGUUCCGCUGAGGACUCUGACAAGACUGCCAUCGUAAGAUGUGAGGAAGGUGGGGAUGACGUCAAAUCAGCACGGCCCUUACGUCCGGGGCUACACACGUGUUACAAUGGGGGGUACAGAGGGCCGCUACCACGCGAGUGGAUGCCAAUCCCAAAAACCUCUCUCAGUUCGGACUGGAGUCUGCAACCCGACUCCACGAAGCUGGAUUCGCUAGUAAUCGCGCAUCAGCCACGGCGCGGUGAAUACGUUCCCGGGCCUUGUACACACCGCCCGUCAAGCCAUGGGAGCCGGGGGUACCUGAAGUGCGUAACCGCGAGGAGCGCCCUAGGGUAAAACUGGUGACUGGGGCU
RNAcentral lists this ribosomal RNA (1432 nucleotides) under uncultured organism. Its description in RNAcentral is "SSU rRNA". It matches the Rfam family "Bacterial small subunit ribosomal RNA". The record is from RNAcentral.